AUGAAGAUGGGGAGAGGAGCCGGCCGCGCUCUGCUGCUCGCCCUGGCGCUCCUCCUCGCGGUGCACGCCACGCCGGCGUCGGCCGCCACCAAGUCUUACUUGGUGAUGGCGUGCCAACGGCCGGCCUCUUGGUCCGAUCUGCUCACCCCAGUCACCAGCCAGUUCCGGAUAUUCUACAUCUUCGACGCCAUCAAGGGGAUCGCAUUGCAGAUCGACAGCAUUUUCGUGCCAGCCCUCAAACUGCUCCCAGGGGUGGUCGUGAUCGAAGACAAACUUUACCAGGUUCAAACGACGCACUCAUGGGGUUUCCUCGGCCUCGAGGGGUUAGACGGUGAGCCGAUCAACGUCUGGAAGAACAUUGCCAACUUCGGCCAAGGAGUCAUCAUCGCCAACGUGGACACGGGUGUAUCUCCAAUAUCUGCAAGUUUCAGGGACGACGGCACCUUGCCCAAACCGGAUCGCUGGAGCGGUGGAUGCCAACAAGGCUACUCCGGCUGCAACAACAAGUUGAUCGGCGCCAGGGUUUUCAACGAGGGCAUCAAGUUGCUGAACAAGCAGAGGGGCAAGCAGCUGAACGAGACCGAGGUGAACUCGUCAUCGGACUAUGAGGGGCAUGGCACACACACACUGUCCACGGCUGGCGGCGGCUUGGUGCCUAAUGUCGGCGCCUUGGGCCACGGGACGGGCACGGCCAAGGGUGGUUCGCCUCGGGCGCAUGUGGCCUCGUACAAGGCGUGCUUCAGGGAAGGGUGCUCCGGCGUCGACAUCCUCAAGGCCAUACUUACGGCGGUGGACGACGGCGUGCAUGUGCUCUCGCUCUCCGUCGGCUCCCCCGCCUCCGACUAUGUCACCGACACCAUUGCGAUAGGAACGGCCUAUGCUGUCACCCAGAGGGUCGUCGUCGUCGCAGCAGGUGGCAACGAUGGCCCCGCGGCAGGCUCGAUCAGCAAUGUGGCUCCGUGGAUGCUCACCGUGGGCGCGAGCACCAUGGACAGAAUCUUCCCCGCCGAUGUCGUCAUCGGUACCAAGACUAUCACGGGACAAAGUCUAUCAAGCAGCACCGACCAGCCAUGUGCGAUGAUCAGCGGGGAGAAGGCCAAUGCUGCAGGCCAAUCUGCCGCCAACUCGUCGUUGUGCUUGCCUGGCUCCCUGGACCCUGCCAAGGUGAGCGGAAAGAUAGUCGUGUGCACGAGAGGAGGAGCAAACGGCCGAGUCGCCAAGGGGCAGGUGGUGAAGGACGCCGGCGGCGCGGGGAUGGUCCUCUGCAACGCCGCCGCCAGCGGGGACAACGUCAUCGCCGACCCGCAUAUCAUCCCGGCGGCCCACUGCCCCUACUCCAAGUGCCAGGAGAUCUUGAGCUACAUCCAGUCUACUGGAUCACCAAUGGGUGAGAUCCGAGCGAGGGACGCGGAGCUGGGUGUGAAGCCGUCGCCGGUGAUGGCAGCCUUCUCAUCCCGUGGGCCGAACACCAUCACUCCUCAGAUCCUCAAGCCCGACAUCAUCGCGCCAGGCGUGAGCGUGAUCGCCGCCUACAGCCAGGAGGUCUCGCCGACGGGCCUGGCUUCCGACGGCCGCCGUGUCGCCUACAUGGUAGAGUCCGGCACCUCCAUGUCGUGUCCGCAUGUGGCCGGCAUCGCCGGCCUGCUCAGGUCCAAGUACCCGAAAUGGAACCCAAACAUGAUCUACUCCGCCAUCAUGACCACCGCCACCAGGGUAGCUAAUGACGACACCGGGAUCCGGGACGAGACGGGCGGUGCCGCCACGCCGUUCAGCUACGGCUCGGGCCACGUGAACCCGGUGAGGGCCCUGGACCCGGGCCUUGUGUACGACACCACGACGCACGACUACCUCAACUUCAUCUGCUCCAUGAGGCCCACCGACACCGAGGGCCUCCUCCCUGUCUCCCUCCCGCUCCCGCUCGAGAAACUCUGGACCGUGCUCAACUGCGUGUUCCGCGGCACCGACUCCAACCCGUUUGAGUGCAGCAAGGGCGCCAACCGCCCCGAGGACCUCAACUACCCGUCCAUCUCUGCGCCCUGCCUGCCCUCCUCCGGCAGCUUCACCGUGAAGCGUAGGGUGAGGAACGUCGGCGGCGGGGCGGCGUCGUACACGGUCCGCAUCACGCAGCCGGCCGGGGUGACGGUCACAGUGAACCCCAGCACGCUGAGCUUUGACGGUGAGAAUCCAGAGGAGGAGAAGCAUUUCAAGGUGACGCUUCAAGUCAACAACCCCGUUGUGGCCGCCGACUACGUGUUCGGCGGCAUCGCAUGGUCGGACGGGAAGCAUUACGUCUGGAGCCCCAUUGCGGCCACCACCAAGUGCGAAUAG
RNAcentral lists this ribosomal RNA (2328 nucleotides) under Triticum aestivum (bread wheat). Its description in RNAcentral is "partial small subunit ribosomal RNA". The record is from RNAcentral. Lineage: Eukaryota; Viridiplantae; Streptophyta; Magnoliopsida; Poales; Poaceae.